GCGUGUUAUGUGGUCUACGCUUUCUCGAGCUAAUUAAGACUUUUGAAGGGAAGAGGUUGCAUUUUACUGCAGGGUCAUUUCCAAAACUUAGGUAUCUAUUCAUAUGGGUUGCGGCACAGCUCAACCAGGUUCAAAUAGAGGAGGGUGCGAUGCAAAACCUCAUUGAGCUAUCAUUCACAGAGUGUCCUGAGCUAAAUUUUCUUCCUAAUGGCAUCGAACACCUUGCAGCCCUUGAGAAAUUAAUUCUGAAAGACACGUCAGAAGAGCUGAUAGAGAAACUCCGGCAGAAGAGAGAUUCUGAUGAAUGCACCAAACAUGCAAUGAAGAUUAGCCACAUAAGGAAUGUUACAGUUGGACUGAGGCAGAAAGGACUUUGGGAAAGGAUUAGGUGAUUGUCGCUGCUCCAAGAUUCUGCACUGCAGUGCAAGCUCUGUUGUCUCCUUGUUACCACUCUUAUGAUUUUUUUACUGUCCUCUAUCGAAGAUGAGUUGUAAGAAGGUCAGCCGCACAGCCGAAUUCUUGAAGGCGGAUGUAAACUCAGCUGCAAAGAAGAAAAAGAACUACGAGUCAGCGUACUUGGUGGAGCGCAAUCAUGAAGGGGGAACAUGAGAUGCUCCGCAACAAUGUAUGCCAUUUUCUUCCACAUUAUGCUGUAUGAAAUGAGUAUUCUGCUCAUCAGUUAGUUGAGUAGCUUCUUCCUUAAUCAUGUCUGCAUACAGACACACACAUACACACAGUAUGCGACCGAUUGUUCAGGAGUAGUAAUGCUUCUUCGCUGAUCCCUCUUACAAGCUUUUAAGUUUGUGUACUGCCGCUGGCACUUGUAAUCAUUGUUGAGCACUACAAGUAUCUAUUUCUCACUAUUCAGCAGCCAUGGUGAACUCUGUUCAUGAGAGUAUGGUCAUAUGCUUAUGGAAACCCAAUCUGGAAUUA
Non-coding RNA from Triticum urartu, 933 nucleotides. The record is from RefSeq and is a predicted model, not a curated record. NCBI's taxonomy places the organism in Eukaryota, Viridiplantae, Streptophyta, Magnoliopsida, Poales, Poaceae.